Molecule: ribosomal RNA, 253 nt
Filed under: uncultured bacterium
Lineage: Bacteria
Description: partial 16S ribosomal RNA
Rfam family: Bacterial small subunit ribosomal RNA
Source: RNAcentral
GACGAACCGUGCGAACGUUGUUCGGAAUCACUGGGCUUAAAGGGCGCGUAGGCGGGCUCUCAAGUCAGGGGUGAAAUCUUUCGGCCCAACCGGAAAAGCGCUUCUGAUACUGGGAGUCUCGAGGGAGGUAGGGGUCGGUGGAACUGGUGGUGGAGCGGUGAAAUGCGUAGAUAUCACUAGGAACGCCGGUGGCGAAAGCGACCGACUGGAUCUCUUCUGACGCUGAGGCGCGAAAGCCAGGGGAGCGAACGGG